GGGUUGUGAGGUUAAGCGACUAAGCGUACACGGUGGAUGCCCUGGCAGUCAGAGGCGAUGAAGGACGUGCUAAUCUGCGAUAAGCGUCGGUAAGGUGAUAUGAACCGUUAUAACCGGCGAUUUCCGAAUGGGGAAACCCAGUGUGAUUCGUCACACUAUCAUUACGUGAAUACAUAGCGUAAUGAAGCGAACCGGGGGAACUGAAACAUCUAAGUACCCCGAGGAAAAGAAAUCAACCGAGAUUCCCCCAGUAGCGGCGAGCGAACGGGGAGGAGCCCAGAGCCUGAAUCAGCAUGUGUGUUAGUGGAAGCGUCUGGAAAG
RNAcentral lists this ribosomal RNA (321 nucleotides) under Salmonella enterica subsp. enterica serovar Paratyphi B var. L(+) tartrate +. RNAcentral's name for it is "partial 23S ribosomal RNA". It matches the Rfam family "Bacterial large subunit ribosomal RNA", at positions 1 to 349 of the family's 2925-position model. The record is from RNAcentral. Lineage: Bacteria; Pseudomonadati; Pseudomonadota; Gammaproteobacteria; Enterobacterales; Enterobacteriaceae.